Molecule: transfer RNA, 68 nt
Filed under: Fenusa (Kaliofenusa) sp. 2 GYN-2022b
Lineage: Eukaryota; Metazoa; Arthropoda; Insecta; Hymenoptera; Tenthredinidae
Description: tRNA-Pro
Source: RNAcentral
CAGAAAAUAGUUUAUAUUUAAAAUAUUAAUUUUGGAGAUUAAUGAAAGGAGAUUAUUCUUUUUUCUGA